UACGUAGGGGGCGAGCGUUGUCCGGAUUUAUUGGGCGUAAAGAGCGUGUAGGCGGCCAGGUAGGUCUGCUGUGAAAACUCGAGGCUCAACCUCGAGACGUCGGCGGAAACCAUCUGGCUAGAGUCCGGAAGAGGAGAGUGGAAUUCCUGGUGUAGCGGUGAAAUGCGCAGAUAUCAGGAAGAACACCCGUGGCGAAGGCGGCUCUCUGGGACGGUACUGACACUGAGGCGCGAAAGCGUGGGGAGCGAACAGG
This 253-nucleotide ribosomal RNA is filed under the name uncultured bacterium. RNAcentral's name for it is "partial 16S ribosomal RNA". It matches the Rfam family "Bacterial small subunit ribosomal RNA", at positions 524 to 776 of the family's 1533-position model. The record is from RNAcentral.